UACGAGGGGGGCAAGCGUUGUUCGGAAUUAUUGGGCGUAAAGCGCACGUAGGCGGCUUGCUAAGUCAGGGGUGAAAUCCUGGAGCUCAACUCCAGAACUGCCUUUGAUACUGGCGAGCUCGAGUCCGGGAGAGGUGAGUGGAACUCCGAGUGUAGAGGUGAAAUUCGUAGAUAUUCGGAAGAACACCAGUGGCGAAGGCGGCUCACUGGCCCGGUACUGACGCUGAGGUGCGAAAGCGUGGGGAGCAAACAGG
RNAcentral lists this ribosomal RNA (253 nucleotides) under uncultured bacterium. Its description in RNAcentral is "partial 16S ribosomal RNA". It matches the Rfam family "Bacterial small subunit ribosomal RNA", at positions 524 to 776 of the family's 1533-position model. The record is from RNAcentral.